This 439-nucleotide ribosomal RNA is filed under the name uncultured bacterium. RNAcentral describes it as "partial 16S ribosomal RNA". It matches the Rfam family "Bacterial small subunit ribosomal RNA", at positions 339 to 795 of the family's 1533-position model. The record is from RNAcentral.
CUACGGGCGGCAGCAGUGAGGAAUAUUGCACAAUGGGGGGAACCCUGAUGCAGCAACGCCGUGUGGAGGAUGACGCAUUUCGGUGUGUAAACUCCUUUUAUAUGUCAAGAAAAUGACGGUAGCAUAUGAAUAAGCACCGGCUAACUCCGUGCCAGCAGCCGCGGUAAUACGGAGGGUGCAAGCGUUACUCGGAAUCACUGGGCGUAAAGGAUGCGUAGGCGGGUUGGAAAGUCAGGUGUGAAAUCCUACAGCUUAACUGUAGAACUGCACUUGAAACUUCUAAUCUAGAGUAUGGGAGGGGGAGAUGGAAUUAGUGGUGUAGGGGUAAAAUCCGUAGAUAUCACUAGGAAUACCUAAAGCGAAGGCGAUCUCCUGGAACAUUACUGACGCUAAGGCGUGAAAGCGUGGGGAGCAAACAGGAUUAGAUACCCCUGUAGUC